AUUGAACGCUCGCGGCAUGCUUUACACAUGCAAGUCGAACGGUAACAGGCCUUCGGGUGCUGACGAGUGGCGAACGGGUGAGUAAUGCAUCGGAACGUACCCAGAGGUGGGGGAUAACGCAGCGAAAGCUGUGCUAAUACCGCAUGUGAUCUGAGGAUGAAAGCGGGGGACCGAGCAGCAAUGUUUGGCCUCGCGCCUUUGGAGCGGCCGAUGUCGGAUUAGCUAGUUGGUGGGGUAAAGGCCUACCAAGGCGACGAUCCGUAGCUGGUCUGAGAGGACGACCAGCCACACUGGGACUGAGACACGGCCCAGACUCCUACGGGAGGCAGCAGUGGGGAAUUUUGGACAAUGGGCGCAAGCCUGAUCCAGCAAUGCCGCGUGCGGGAAGAAGGCCUUCGGGUUGUAAACCGCUUUUGGCAGGAACGAAACGGUGUCCGCUAAUACCGGGCGCUAAUGACGGUACCUGCAGAAUAAGCACCGGCUAACUACGUG
RNAcentral lists this ribosomal RNA (492 nucleotides) under uncultured bacterium. RNAcentral describes it as "partial 16S ribosomal RNA". It matches the Rfam family "Bacterial small subunit ribosomal RNA", at positions 29 to 507 of the family's 1533-position model. The record is from RNAcentral.